This 868-nucleotide ribosomal RNA is filed under the name uncultured bacterium. Its description in RNAcentral is "bacterial SSU rRNA". It matches the Rfam family "Bacterial small subunit ribosomal RNA", at positions 186 to 1083 of the family's 1533-position model. The record is from RNAcentral.
GUGAAAUGCCUUAGAAUGAAAGCUGUGAGCAAUCGCAGCGCCACAGGAUGGGCCUGUGGCCUAUCAGUUAGUUAGUGAGGUAACGGCUCACCAAGGCUAAGACGGGUAGCCGGACUGAGAGGUCGGUCGGCCACACUGGAACUGAGAUACGGUCCAGACUCCUACGGGAGGCAGCAGUGAGGAAUUUUGCGCAAUGGGCGAAAGCCUGACGCAGCGACACCGCGUGGGGGAAGAAGGCUUUCGAGUUGUAAACCCCUUUCGUGAGGGAAAAAGCCCUGAGUUUAUCGAAGGGUGAUGGUACCUCAGGAAGAAGCCACGGCUAACUCUGUGCCAGCAGCCGCGGUAAGACAGAGGUGGCAAGCGUUGUUCGGAUUUACUGGGCUUAAAGGGCGUGUAGGCGUCCUUGUAUGUCAGAUGUGGAAUCCUCAGGCUUAACCUGAGAAUUGCAUUUGAAACUGCUUGGAUUGAGUCAGGCAGGGGAGGGCAGAAUUCCUGGUGGAGCGGUGAAAUGCGUAGAUAUCAGGAGGAAGGCCGGUGGCGAAGGCGGCCCUCUAGGCCAUGACUGACGCUGAGGCGCUAAAGCGUGGGUAGAAACAGGAUUAGAUACCCUGGUAGUCACGCCCUAACGGUGGGACUGGGUGUGGGUGCGAUAGCAUCUGUGCGAAGGGAAACAUUAAGUACCCGCCUGGGGAGUCCGCCGCAAGGCUAAACUCAAAGGAUUGACGGGGCCGCACAGCGUGGAGCUGUGGUUAUUCGCCCUCGCGAAAACUUACUGGGUUGAAUGCAGUAGAGGACCUGAAAGGUACGAGCCGAGCAUCGGAAGCUGCCAGGGCUGCUGGCUUCGCAGCUCUGCCUGAGGUGUGGGUAA